AGGGACCGACGCCUGGAAGCCGCAGCGCCCCUAGGGGGGGUGGGGGGGGCUGUGCAGGCGCCCACGGGGAUGCUCCAGCCCCGGCCCGUGGCCUGGCUCCCGAGGUUCCCUGUGCUGAUUGCGGAGCUGUGAGGAGAGAAACUGAGGCACAGCAGAACUUUCAAAAGCGUACUUGAGCAAAAGCCAGGCCCCCACGGCAUUGCAGCCACAUCCGUCCAACGGCCACCUUGCUUGAUUCGUUUAACAGCUGAAACCCAAAACCUUCGGAGUUUCGCAUCCAUCGAUUCCAGCCUGAAUAACUGUAUGGCAAGCGGUAAAGGUAGAAAUACUUUGAACUCCUGAAUAAAGACACGGAGAGAGAGAGGCAGAGACACAGGCAGAGGGAGAAGCAGGCUCCAUGCAGGGAGCUCAACGUGGGACUCGAUCCCAGGAAUAAACUCCUCAUGGAUUCUUAAGGCUUUGGGAGUCAACAGAGGAACUCCAUUCUUUGGAACUUCAGAGUGACAAGUGAACCCUGGCUGAAGGGGCAAACACAGAUUCAACUGUUGUUGGACAGAUUGCCAGAGGAAAAACCAAGUGUUCUGCUGUUAGAAUACACAGAAGUGAGAAUGAGCCAAAGAACCAGAAGCCAACCAGAAAAACGAGAGCUGUGAGUUCUGCGCCAACACCUCCAGAAGGGCCUUGGUACUACUUGAAGGACUUCUCCAAGGACAGAAGAUUCUUUCUAUCUCAUAAAAAAGCUGGAUGCCCCCGAAGGACGAAAGAGGAGAGACAGUGAAGUCUGAAGCAACAGUAUUUUGGUUCUGAAGGAAUCCAUUCUAAAGGGUGAUAGUAAAGAAAAACAAAGCAUAUUAAAAUGACAGUUGAUAUGUGAAAGGUAAGUACCUUCUUGUGGUGGGAUAAAUGAUGCCCGGGUAGAGCUAGAAGACCUGUGGAAAGCAAAGCAUCAAAAGAUGGUGAGGUAGGACUUAGUUGCUGGUAUAGUCUUCCAUACCUUUUUUGAAUGCAUAUCCUACUACAUAAGUUUUCAAGCACAGUUAUGAAAGGAAAAAAAUGUGAAUAUUUAACUUUAAUUGAAGGGAUUUUUAAUAAGCCUUGAAAAUGGUGCUUAAUUCCACCCUAUACUUUACUGUAUCCUCCUCUAAGAGCACAGAUUCUCAGUCACAGCAGUGUUUUAAAGACUCAAUGUAUUAUGUAAUGGAUUAUAAGGCUAUAAAUAAUGUCAUAAAUAAAACCAAUGUAAUUAUAUCACAACAGAGGCUAAGAAUCCAUCCGUAAACUACCAAACGAUCCAGCUGAAGGGACAUAUGUUUUCCUUAAGAUAAUGAAGUAUAGAAUGUGUGAAAUGUAUUUUGCAAGCUUUUAUGUAUGUCAAACUUCAGGGAAGCUAUAUGUUUUCCAUGAAAGAUAUAAAGGAUUUCUUUCUUGAAAAAAAUUAGAAGCAGAAAAAAAUUUAACUUAUUUCAGUCAUGAGUAUGCCAUAGCUAAAUUAAAAUCCACAGUUUUAUAUCUGGUAUUCAAGAAGAGUGUUUCAGAUUGAAGAACUUUCAGCUAUUUGUUUAAACAUGGAUCUUAAAUCACUCCGAGAUUUUCUUGGAUAGCAAAACAUAGUGGAAUUUACAGAUGUUAGCCUGAAAAUUAGUAACUAUGUCUCUCCUAUUAGUGAUGGGAAAACUUGAUGACCUGGAUUCCUUUCAAAUGGAAAAAAGAGAGGAACAAUGACAACUAGAUUCACCUCUUGCCUGCACUUUAUAUAAAUAGGAUUACACUACCCAGAGCUUCAAACUCACUCACAAAGGGAAACUAGGAUAUGAAGCUAUCUUGUAAGCAAUCACACACAGGUAGCAGGACUAAGUCUAGAAGUACUACUCUGUGUAUUUCCCUCCGUAUCUUCAAGCAUUUCUUUGGGACUUUAAGCUUCUUUCAUCCUGUCUCUCACCGUACAUAAGCAGCAAAGAAUAAGUACUUAGAGAAAAUGUCACCUUAAUAAAAUGAAAGAUUCUAACAUGUACUUGGAGAGCAAAGAUAAUUUUAGAACUGAGGUAAAUGGGGGGAAGGAGAAACCGGUAGCAUAGGGGAGAUGUAGUAUGAAAGGCAGGAGUGGAGAAUGGUUAUUGACAUAAAAAAGGAUACAGGUUCUAAAACAUUACUGCUUCUGCAUCACUAUCUACUCAUGGCCUCUGAUAUGCUUGCCAUCAGUUGGAAUCCUUAAGCUCACCUGAAUAUGAGCUUAAGGAUGUCCUGGGCAUUCUGUAUGGCAGUAGGAUAUGGAACAAAAAAUUCUCAAUCCCAUUUUAUGGAGGAAUUGAAUAAAACUAGUUUGGAAUUUUCCUGUAAGCCAGGUCAUUGUUGUACUCUAUGCUAUUUGAUAAUUACCAUUUAAAUGACCUGUUAGUUCCAAACAUGUGAGGACUUCCGUUGAUGAAAAUAUUUACAAAUAUUUUAAAAAAUUAUUUAUUUUUAAACACAGUGUGCUGCCAUAGUACAGUCCCAUAGAGGUUCUCCUCAAGCCAAAGAAAGGGAGUGAAUUAGCUUCUUAAAAAAAAAAAUAAAAUAAACAAAUAAAAAACCUUACAUUCUUUUCUGUGAACAAAAAA
Molecule: long non-coding RNA, 2597 nt
Organism: Canis lupus familiaris (dog)
Lineage: Eukaryota; Metazoa; Chordata; Mammalia; Carnivora; Canidae
Exons: 8
Source: RefSeq, a predicted model, not a curated record